Molecule: ribosomal RNA, 586 nt
Filed under: uncultured bacterium
Lineage: Bacteria
Description: bacterial SSU rRNA
Rfam family: Bacterial small subunit ribosomal RNA
Source: RNAcentral
CCUACGGGAGGCAGCAGUGGGGAAUUUUGGACAAUGGGGGCAACCCUGAUCCAGCCAUUCCGCGUGAGUGAAGAAGGCCUUCGGGUUGUAAAGCUCUUUUGUCGGGGACGAAACGGUUACGAUUAAUACUCGUGACAACUGACGGUACCCGAAGAAUAAGCGCCGGCUAACUACGUGCCAGCAGCCGCGGUAAUACGUAGGGUGCGAGCGUUAAUCGGAAUUACUGGGCGUAAAGCGUGCGCAGGCGGUUUUGUAAGCCAGAUGUGAAAUCCCCGGGCUUAACCUGGGAAUGGCAUUUGGGACUGCAAGGCUAGAGUAUGGCAGAGGAGACUAGAAUUUCUGGUGUAGCAGUGAAAUGCGUAGAUAUCAGAAGGAAUACCGAUGGCGAAGGCAGGUCUCUGGGUCAAUACUGACGCUCAUGCACGAAAGCGUGGGGAGCAAACAGGAUUAGAUACCCUGGUAGUCCACGCCCUAAACGAUGUCAACUGGUUGUUGGGAGAUUUAUUCUCUUAGUAACGAAGCUAACGCGUGAAGUUGACCGCCUGGGGAGUACGGUCGCAGAUUAAAACGUCAAAGGAAUUGACGG